UUUUUUUUUUUUUUUUUUGGUUUAUUCUUGAACCAGAUUGUUAAGAGGAAGAGCUCUGCAGGGCUUGGGCAAAGCCAUUUGCAGCUGAAGGGGGCCCUCCUCCGGGGGGAGAGGCGGCUGCUGUCACUGCGUUGCUCUCACCCGCUGUCCGUGCUUUCCAAAAUGUCUUGAAUUUGGACCAGCAGAAAAUCUGAACUCUAAUGCCAGAGAACAAAAUUUAAGAAUGUGAAAAUUGUGUCUUGCUGUAUACUGCAACUUUAAUGAUAAUGAGCACUUCUGAGUUCGUUAUUGAGGUUUAUAUAAUGCCUGAAAAGUUUAAUUGCUGGUUUCCCUUGUCUCCCCUUUCAGAACACGAGUAAUAAGUUUUUGUCAGCAGCCCUUCCCUGUGGGAGGCAACUCCUGUUAAUUGUUUUAGCUCUCAUGCUUUACAAUGGGUGGGUGUAGUCGUAUGUACCUGUCCUUUGCAAGCCACGCUUCUCAAGAUAAAAGAUAUGAUGGGCGCGUGUCAGAUACCUAACUGAUGUGUCGACAGGAAGCUUUUAAAUCAAUGUGUAUAAUGAUAGCAAAUACACCAUAAUGGAUUGAAAUUGGCUCACGUUUAGACUCUUAGAAAUGGAAUUUCACAUCUGCAUGGGUAUGGCUAAAAAGUGGAUUUUGCCCUUGUGGAUACACAACCCAAAGACUCCUUCUGUUACGAUGCUAUAAAGUUUGACGAAGGCAUUAUAUAAUUGUUUUCAUCACUUUCAGAUCUUAAUGAAUCGUACUUUAUUGUAAUAUAUAUUCAUUGCUUUACUCAGUUAAAAAGAAAGUUACUGCUUUUAUCUUAUAUGAAAAACAAGGGAAUUUGAUAAAGCAUUCAUUAUUUUCAUAUUACUAGUAUUAACAGAAUAGAACUAGUACUAUUUAAUUUUAGAUCUUCAUAGCUAGCUUGUUAAUAACUCAUAUUUUCCUGUGUUGUAUCCUACUAUUUUUUCUAUUUUUUUCCCAAAUACUCUGCAUUCUUGAGAAAAAACAAAUCCAAUGAGUGGAUAAGUGCAAUAUUCAUAGAAUAAACAGGCCCCUCAUCCAGGACUUGGAGUGGAACGUGCAGUGUGAAAUGUUUGCAAUUCUCUAUUCAUGCACUCUUAAGGGAAGGGGAAAUGCAGGGGAGGGGAUGGCUGGAUGAGAAUCUGACCCUUGGGUAGGUAGGGACUGACAGAUAGCUGGGGUGGUUUGGAGCGGGAAUGACUGCUUUCCAGGAAAAAGCAUCACCUGUUAAUGAAAAUACAAGGAUUAUGCAGCAUGCUGCCAGGAUUAUGUGUAGAAUGUGCAUUAACAUCCUUAUCAAUACAGGACUUCUGAGCUAUGCUUGAAACACUCUGUAUGCCAUCCAUGCAUGAUACUGUCUUCUGGUAUGUCUCUGCUGGUUAUGUCCUCUGUUAUGCUUCGGAAUCGAUAGUGACUUCAGAAGGGAAAAUAAUUCUGCUGGUGCGGUCCCAAGUUUUGAUACUGUAUUCUUACUAGUAUUUAUUGCAAGAGCUAUGGGAGUAUUUUUACAGGUCUUUCUUUUCCGUCCCUAUUGUUAACCUAAGACAAAAAGUCCCUGUUUUAUCUGGGUUAGUUCUCACCUGCAGAAUUUCACAGCUGAUUUGGGUAUUGAUUUCAUACUUUGCUUGCAAAGGCUGAUCACUCAGGUCCAAAAUAAAGUUGGGCAGAAACUUUGUUCUUCAAAAGAGGUUUUGUCUUAAAUUCUAUUUGAAUGGAAAGAGAACUUCCAUUUGUAAAAAAUAAUGUGACUUUCCAGGUAGCAGCAAAAUCUACUACCUUUGAAAAACUGGACUGUUUUCAUAAGAUAUGGGAAAAAUGUGAAAGCCAGAGCAUUCGAUUUUCUGAGCUCUGGGAAGUACAUCUCCCAUGGCUCGUGUCCCUGGAGAGGGGAUGUACCUCAGCUUUCUGCUUAAUUUUUGUCCUGCUGUUCUUACGUUUGUCAAAAAGCAUUAAUAUUACCAGAGACCUUUGCAUUCAAAGAGGAAAACUGAAUUCUGCAGCUGUACUGAAAUAGUAUCAAUUAUAUGGCUUUUUAAAACCUCUAAUACUUUACAAAUGAAUUUGAUUUUGAGGAGCUAACUCCAAUUCUUUCACAUGCUCUUGUCUAACCUGGCAAGAAGUCCAUGAGCAUCAGUAGGGUUACACUGACAGAAGACCCGCAGUGGAGCAAAGCGCCUUGCGGGCACUCAGCAUGGAAUGUUCUCAGCAAAAGCAAGCACCGUGAAUUCAGUUUCUACACCUCCAAAGGGUGCACAGGACUGCUAAGCCUCGGUGCUGCCAUGCCAUGAUUCACUUCCCUGCAGGUCUUGCAGCUUUCUGAAACCAACUGGAGCUUUGCUGCUAUUUGCUGGUGGCUUCCUAUCACCGGCAGCUCCUUGUCUGGCAAGUUUAGAUGCUAUUUAGCCACAUUGCAAAGUGGUGCGUAUAAAUGCAGUGUUUGAUAGAUGCCAACAGUACCAGUAGGAUGGUCUGAGAGCAAAUGUUUGUGUAAGUUAUUUUAUUUUCAUUUGCUUGUAGUUGCUUGGUAGAAGCAGGGACCACCAAUGCAGCAAUGCAUGGGGAAUGUGUCUGCACACUUGAACUGUUUGAUGGCCUCUGCUAGCUCUGCCCAGUGCUUGCAUUUCUCCUACUCUCUGUGCUGCUCAGUAGUCAUGUCUCGUGCAUGUGUCUGUAACUUUCAAAUAAAGUACUGUAUGUAGGGCUGGAUCCAGAAGACUCCACAGUCAGUUGACUUUGGAUUGGGAUGUAGGUUGCUGUUGCUGCUUUUCCUCCUCCAUCUUAGACCCACCUUGGAGCAAAGCACAGAUGUUUGUAAAAAGUCACCCAUAACUCUACUUUGGGGUGUCAGUUUUGUGGGGUGUGCAUGCAUUGCCAAGGGUGGAAUGAGGGGAUCUUUUCUUGGGUGCCCCCACAUCAGGGCUAGGGCUCCGCAGUGAUUCCUGGAGUGAAAGCUGUGCUGCACUGCUUGCGGGCCUGACUGGCGUAGGCAGAACAAGUUAGUUUCUCCCAUUUUAUAAUGUCAGGGCUGGGCUGGUCCCAUUAACAAUGUUCUUCAUUUGUUCUCGCAUCAAGGUAGCGUUGAUUCUAGUUGGAGAGUGCAAUUUUUUUGUUUUGUGUUUGUUUUUAAUAAAUAAAUUUGGUUUAAAGCUUCACACUGGCGUUUUUACAGACCUGUUCUUGUCAGCAUAAGCCACUACUGUCCUGAGUUGAGACUCCUGUUUGUUACUGAAUCAAAAUAAUUAUGGGAAUUAUGUUGAUAAUUUGGAAAUAAAUGAGAGGUAACUAUAUUGGCAGGGGAGAGAUAGAUAACAUAUGAGGAAAAAUAUGUUUCUAAUAAGGCCAUAAAUUAUUGGGUCUGACACUGCAGGUGCUUUCUCUGUAUAGAUGGGUUUAAUAUGUCACUGCUCUGUGUUAGGAUUUUUCAUUAGUGAGAAAAGUUGAAGUUUUUCACUCCAUGAUAUACUAUGACAAUCUGUAUCCUGAAGCCAAUGAUCCACCAAAGGAAGAUGAACAUGGGUUACAUGUUUGUUGUAGCUGAGGCAGUUCGUGUGCCUGGGAGUUUGCAUACACUGAGGUUUGGCUGAUGGAGGGGGCAGGGGUGGCUGUUCCAGGUCUGCCUGCGUUGGCCCUCUGUGAAACAACCCUGUGCUAGUGGCACUUCUGGUUUAGUGGUCUUCCCCUGAUGCUCAGGGUUAUUUGGUUACGAUGGUGCCUGUGAAUCUUGGUCCCUGCUUGGUGGAGGAGAAAAACAGGGGAGGGAGAAUCACUUGGCACUGCAGGAGGUUUUUUAAAAUACAACAUUUAAAAUUAAAAUAAAUAUUCAGGCUUCUCCAGAUAUUCCUCUUCAAAGCUGUGUUAGUGAUGCUGUAUUUGAUGUCUGAAAUUUAAGCAACGUGGCAGCUUUCUCUGCACAAACAGUACUUUUGUGGUUUAAGAGCUUGUUCUUGAACUGCUUCUGGGUCACCAGGGAAGUAGUAAUAAAUAAACAAAAUCCCAUCAUCACCCUUGGGGUUUAGGUUAGGGGGAUGUCAAAUUCUGUUCUGACUCUGCAUCCCCUUGAGCAUCCAGAUUCAGUUUGUUUCUGUCCCCUAGGAGCAGGGCAGAACAGUGCAGUCAUUGGAACUUAGCCUGUAACAAUUAGUAAACUGGAAAAAAAGGAAAAGGAAUUAAAAAGAAACCUUUUAAAAAAAUGAAAUAUUUCGGUGAAUAGCUGACUUAACUAUUUCCUGUCUUGGAUUUGGGGGACAGGGGAGUUAUAAUUGUUUCCAGUCUCUAGGAGGAAUUUUUCUGCAGCCUGCUGAAUAGGCUUGCUGAAAAGAGUUGCUCAUUACUCAUGAUGAGUUCAAACCUGGAGUAUUGCAAAAGCAAAGUGUGUGUAGCAUUACAAUGACUUUUUUGUACUGAGGGUCCAAACUGAGUAUUGUGGGGUCAAUAGUGUACAGGGUAAGGGCAUUUCUGCUGUCUGGCUAACCACAUUAUAUCAGUGCUGUUCCUUUAUUGCAGAUUUAAUUGCAGACAGCAGUGCUCGUUACUCUGUCUGCAGUGUUUGGGGAGAAUCAAGCAGAUGAGCCUGCUCAGUUAAGUCCCAAUAUCGGAUUUCAUGUUAGGAGAAGUCUUGCCAGCAGUUUGAUUGAUUGCUGCUUAGGCUAAAGUUCAGAUGCAGAUAACUCAAGGUGGGUGUUGAAAGCAGCUCAGCUGGAUCUUUACAUCUGUAGCUAUUUUCAGAGCUGUUAAUUAGCCCAGAUUGUCUCUGGAACUGGUGGUUAGUCAGAUACAGAGAGCCUAAACCUGCUGUUGAAUGAAGGCUGAAAUCUGUUCAAGCAGUAGUGCUCCCCUCCGUUAACGGAGCAAUUGCAUGUGUCUGGACUGGAAACUCGUACAGGUUUUGCUGUUCCAAAUUUGUAAUUGAUAAAUAAAUGAUCUAGGCCUGGUCUAACUGAGGUUUGGCAGUGGGUUUCCUAGGUGGUUGAUGUUCUUAAUGUGACCUUAAAUAUUAGAUGCUGUUGUCAUUUCUGUGUUGGUGUAGCAGUCCAUUUUCUAGUGGUUAGGUGGUGGGCAUGUACCUGGUGGGAGCUUGAGAGAGUAUGUCGGUGACCAGAGAUAGAGAAAUGUGUGGCUGGUUUUAGUGUGUGUGGUCAAGUUGGUGACAUUUUUUUGUCUUCUUUUUGUUUGGUUGGUUUAUUUUUAACAUGGGAACCAUUCUGUCUGUUCUGUUUGGGGAAAAGUCUAGAAGUUGGUGGGGUUUCUGUGGCGUGUAUAUGAGAAGGAGUAACUGAGAGCUUUCCUUUUUGUUCUUUUUUUUUCUUUUUAAGAAAGUUUAUGGGUGGGAGUCCAUUCGGUUUGGUUUGGGUUGCGAGUUAAGCCAAGAGAGGAAGAAAAUGAGUCUGGGAAAACCCUUUUCUUGUGGUAACAGCUUUGGACCAUGUUUUGUUGUGGCCUCUGAUCCCACUCCGCUGAAGGUAGUGGAGCAAAUUGUUCAUCAUGCAGAUGUUACAGCUUUUGGCAAAGUAUUGAUUCUUCCAGAGCUUCCAGGUAUUUUGAAAUUCAGGGCAUUAGUCCUUAAUAUACCUAUAGCAAAUGUAAGCUAGAAACAGAAAUAGUAACUGCAGCCUCAUGCAUUGUCCAAUGUUUGUUUAAUGAACUUGAUAUGGUGACCAGUUGGAUAAAACUGUUUGUACAGUGAACAACUCCUGCAAGGAUCCAGAUGUGCUUGAGUCUCUGAGAUGCUUUCCUAGAAAAGGAAAUCACAUGCAUGAUGGAAAAUUUUGCCUUUCAGAGUCAUCACAGUAAAACUGAAACCCAGAAAAAUUACUUCUUUUUGCACUUAACAGUAUCUUUUGCUAUUGAUGGUAAGAGUUACUGUUAAUGAGGGGUCAGAUGCUUCAGUCUGAACUGGCACAAAACAGGAAACCUGUUUAUGACCAGUCCCUGAGUCUGCAUGCGAACAUGAUGAAUUUGAUGCAGAGUAGAGUACUAGUUAACAAAGAUGAGUAACUUCUCUGUGGGCCAACACUAAAGAUCAUUGGGGAGAACAGAGCUCUUCUUUUUGCUAAGUGACCCUGUAGAAAUGUCCCUCAGGCUUUAGCACAGAUCAGCUGGGGACCUGUGAUGAUUUAGCUGAUAUGUAUGGUACUGUGAGCCUGAUUCUGUGACUGGGACAAUAGAAGUGCAUCUCUGUCCCAAUGACAGUUAAUGAAAUUAUCAUAGCACAUUGUUUUCGUUUGCUCUGGAUAUGACAGUGCUGAGGGGAAACAGUUGCAUGAAGCAUUAUCUUCCUCCUAAUCCAGACUUACAGACUUUACGUGGCUUUAGUGUCCAGUCCAGAACUGGUUUCAGAGCUGUCCUCAUGGUUAUGUUGCAGGCCAAGUGCAGUAAAUAGGAGGUGGAAUAUCACCAGAUCAACCUGUGUCUGCUCAUGUCAUCGGUGUGGGUGGCUGGUUCAGGGGUUUGCUGCCCCGUGUGGGACAGGAGCUGCACACAGGGGCUGCCCUCUUCACGAUUACUACCGAAUGGCUACACGCCAUGCCCAAGUGCUUGCUUUUAAUCAUGUCUCUGCCUGUAAAGGUUAAAACUCAGCAUGGGUGUCUCAACACAAAAUGAGAAACUCAUAUUGUCUUGGGCAACUGUGCAUGUGAACAUGCAGAGCAAAAAUUGUGCCUAAAAGUAGAUCUCUGCAUUUCUUUUCAGGCAUUUAUUAGAGCUGGUGUUAUCUCAGAAUUGAACAGCAUUUAAUAACAGUUAAUUAAGACUGCUCAAAACUUCUGGAGGAAAAGAUAAAUUGAGUUCUGGUUGCUUUUAGAGGAGGGAGUUGCAAUAAAUGUAAAAUAUUGCAAGGUGCUUUAUGAAUUUCAUUUUUCUCCCAGGAUUGUCACAGAUUCUUGUGACCAUCCUGGCCCACAUUGGUGCUGUGGCACAGCAACUUGGUAGUGAUACCUCUCUGCAUCUGUGAUGGACAUGUGCUUAUGGGAAAAGAUAAGCCUAAAAAGGGCCUGGAGUAAAACUAUGCUCGAUAAAAGAGCUUCUGAUUUGCAUGUUCUAGAUAUGCGGAAAUAACUUGGUUUCAGGCAACUUCAGCUCCUUCCAGGCAUCUGCUAUCACACACCCUGCAGAUGCUGCAGUCAGCUGGGUUUUGGAGGGUGGCAAAUGCUAGUGGAAGGGAGAAUUCAGGAUGCACACUGUCACUGCCCUUACUGUUCUUCAGCCAUGCCCGAAAUCUGCUGGGCCAAAGCAGGAUCAGACCCUUGGCACAGUGUUUGCCGUGUCCCACAGGGCCAAGCUCAGCUUGACAAGUGCUUUGAGUGAUGUUGGCUGGCGCUGUGCACUGCUGCACAGUGAUGAUCCUUUCCUCUCCACAGGACCUGGGGAGGUUGUGAGGGACUGCCAGGGUUUGAGGGCUGUUUCCUCAGAGUUAUUACAAGUUCUUGCAAUGUGAACCUCUAAUGUUUUCAAAGACUCAGGCAGAAAGGACUUGCUAAACAGACUGUACCUGUCAUCUCCCAGUUCAUUGAUUGCUUGGACCAAAGGUGGUGCUAAAUCUGAUCUUUAUCUGUAAUAUUUAUAUUUUGUUGGACUUCUUUUUUUUUUUAAAGUGUUUGAUAAAACAGAUGCAGUGUCCUUCUUACAUGAGAAAUCUAGUGCCCGGCUUGAGAUACAUCAAAACUCAAUGGACCUUCAGGGUCCACAAUUGUUGCUUGUUAACAUUUGAGCAGGCUUGCAGUGUUUUGGGGGGAGGUGGGAAAAGGGUACUCUAUCUUCAAAUGCUUGCAGACUGUAAGAAUUGUGAUUUUUGUUUGUUUGUUGGUAUUUUGUUUACAUUGCCUCUUAUGCCCUAAGGAAAAAUAAAUUUUUGACCUUUU
This 7883-nucleotide long non-coding RNA is filed under the name Strigops habroptila (Kakapo). RNAcentral describes it as "lncRNA (ENSSHBG00005004005.1)". The record is from RNAcentral. Lineage: Eukaryota; Metazoa; Chordata; Aves; Psittaciformes; Psittacidae.